Long non-coding RNA from Magnolia sinica, 536 nucleotides. RefSeq lists it as uncharacterized. The record is from RefSeq and is a predicted model, not a curated record. The transcript has 3 exons. NCBI's taxonomy places the organism in Eukaryota, Viridiplantae, Streptophyta, Magnoliopsida, Magnoliales, Magnoliaceae.
CUCAGUAGCAUCCAUGACGGGUCUCUUCUUCUUCACCGUUGAUCCAGCUGCUGGGACAAGCUAAUUCCAUCCAGACCGUCGAAUUAAUGUGAAUCGAACAUUGUAACUGAAAAGCUUUUCAGAGGAGCUGGAAAGGACAGCUGCACUGCUAGCAUUUUAAGAUGCAUCAAAUUGCCCUGCUGGGGAGCUUCUGGACAUUUCACAAUGCCUGAAAAUAGCAAGUGAGAUGAAUGCAGCCACCCUUACAUGCCAGAGUCAUGAAAAAAGGUUUGUCACGUGGUGGGGCUAAAAUUCCAAACCAGCACGUGUGGAGGUAUGUUUGUAUUCUGUUUGGUAGCUAGCUAGUUAUUUGAUACUCUGGCUGAAUAUGAUACCUGAUAUGCAGGCACUUGGAAAUUGUACAUGUGCUUUAUAUUAACUCAAAUCAAACCAACUAAAUUGUGGAAUAUAUUGCUGUUAACUUACUAUCCAGGCCUCAGAUUCAUCGAAAAAUCUUAACCGUUGAUUCGUGGACACUUGCUUGUUUGUCGAAAUAU